RNAcentral lists this long non-coding RNA (823 nucleotides) under Linum usitatissimum (flax). RNAcentral's name for it is "long non-coding RNA (LUSI_LNC007061)". Lineage: Eukaryota; Viridiplantae; Streptophyta; Magnoliopsida; Malpighiales; Linaceae. The record is from RNAcentral.
CACAAAUAACUUAAGACUAAACACUAAAAAAUAUCUGUCGUCACUCGCUUCGUCGUCACUCGCAAAAGGGUCGCCACCUGAAAUACGACAAAAAAACAAGAAGAUUCGAUUUACAGGUAAUCAUUCAAACUUUCCUAUUCAAAAGCAUUCAUGCAAUAUUCAUACAUACAUUUUGUGGCACUUAUACUCUCUUUAAAACCAUCCUCGAAUAUUCAUUAUGACUAAUCAAGUGAACGUUUCAUGUUGGUAAAUAUGCUAGCAAAACCUAAAAUAAGAUUCAAAACUCAACUGAAGUUGCUGAAUUUUUUUUUUUACAAUAACAAAAAAAAUCAUUUUUUUAAAACAAGACCUAAUUUGAACAUUUAGAUUAUUCCCACACAACCAAUGAAAUAGAAAUCAGGUAAAGAAAUAUACUAAACUUUUUACCAAGCUGUUUCCUCUCUAUCCACUGCUACCAUCGAUUUCAGCAUCUAACAAAAAAAAUAAACACAAGAAACUCAAUAAAACUCACAAAAUCAGAAAAAAUAAACUUCAAACUUAGAUCUACGGAACAGGACAUGCAUGUCACCGGAGGGCUCGCCGGAGCCUCCCUCGAUGACAUGCAAGUCUAAUGAAAUCGGAAAAACAAAAAGAAGAGCUCAGAAAUCUUUACCUUUUCUUUCUUUCCAUGGUGGUGACCGGGAGAGAAGAUGUGAGACAUAGACAGCGGCCGUUGUCGCUGGAAAUUAAAAGGGUGGAGGGGAAGAGGCGGCUGAAAAAGAAAAAAGGUGAAAAAAAAUAUAUACUCGCGGCGGUGGCGGCGGCGGUAGUGAAGGGGAAGGAG